RNAcentral lists this ribosomal RNA (225 nucleotides) under uncultured bacterium. RNAcentral's name for it is "partial 16S ribosomal RNA". It matches the Rfam family "Bacterial small subunit ribosomal RNA", at positions 1267 to 1500 of the family's 1533-position model. The record is from RNAcentral.
GCGAAUCUCGAAAGCCUGUCUCAGUUCGGAUUGGAGGCUGAAACCCGCCUCCAUGAAGUUGGAUUCGCUAGUAAUCGCGCAUCAGCCAUGGCGCGGUGAAUACGUUCCCGGGCCUUGUACACACCGCCCGUCAAGCCAUGGGAGCCGGGGGUGCCUGAAGUUCGUGACCGCAAGGAGCGACCUAGGGCAAAACUGGUGACUGGGGCUAAGUCGUAACAAGGUACC